Molecule: ribosomal RNA, 285 nt
Filed under: uncultured bacterium
Lineage: Bacteria
Description: partial 16S ribosomal RNA
Rfam family: Bacterial small subunit ribosomal RNA
Source: RNAcentral
CUCUUCCUACGGGGCGCAGCAGUGGGGAAUAUUGCACAAUGGGGGAAACCCUGAUGCAGCGACGCCGCGUGAGUGAAGAAGUAUUUCGGUAUGUAAAGCUCUAUCAGCAGGGAAGAAAAAAGACGGUACCUGACUAAGAAGCCCCGGCUAACUACGUGCCAGCAGCCGCGGUAAUACGUAGGGGGCAAGCGUUAUCCGGAAUUACUGGGUGUAGAGGGAGCGUAGACGGCUGUGCAAGUCUGGAGUGAAAGGCGGGGGCCCAACCCCCGGACUGCUCUGGAAACU